AACGAACGCUGGCGGCAGGCCUAACACAUGCAAGUCGAGCGCACCUUUCGGGGUUAGUGGCGGACGGGUGAGUAACACGUGGGAACGUGCCCUUUUGUUCGGAAUAACCCAGGGAAACUUAUACUAAUACCGUAUGUGCCCUUCGGGGGAAAGAUUUAUCGCAAUUAGAGCGGCCCGCGUUGGAUUAGGUAGUUGGUGGGGGUAUGGCCUAACCAGGGCACCGACCAGUACUUGGUCUGGGGGGUGGACCAGCCAAAUGGGAACGGGGACACGGCCCAAACUCCUACGGGGAGAGGCGGGGGGGAAUCUUGCGCAAGGGGGGAAAGCCUGACGAAGCAAGGCGGGGGAAAUGUUGAAGGUCUUGGGAUGGUAAGAUUCUUUCGCCGGGGACGAUAUGGACGUAACAGGAGGAGGAGGCCCGGGCUAACUUCGUG
RNAcentral lists this ribosomal RNA (434 nucleotides) under uncultured bacterium. Its description in RNAcentral is "partial 16S ribosomal RNA". It matches the Rfam family "Bacterial small subunit ribosomal RNA", at positions 29 to 507 of the family's 1533-position model. The record is from RNAcentral.